This 253-nucleotide ribosomal RNA is filed under the name uncultured bacterium. Its description in RNAcentral is "partial 16S ribosomal RNA". It matches the Rfam family "Bacterial small subunit ribosomal RNA", at positions 524 to 776 of the family's 1533-position model. The record is from RNAcentral.
UACGGGGGGGGCAAGCGUUGUUCGGAAUUACUGGGCGUAAAGGGCUCGUAGGCGGCCAACUAAGUCAGACGUGAAAUCCCUCGGCUUAACCGGGGAACUGCGUCUGAUACUGGAUGGCUGGAGUUUGGGAGAGGGAUGCGGAAUUCCAGGUGUAGCGGUGAAAUGCGUAGAUAUCUGGAGGAACACCGGUGGCGAAGGCGGCAUCCUGGACCGGUAUUGACACUGAGGCGCGAAAGCCAGGGGAGCAAACGGG